RNAcentral lists this long non-coding RNA (1215 nucleotides) under Mus musculus (house mouse). RNAcentral's name for it is "long non-coding RNA chr6:63649998-63651213". Lineage: Eukaryota; Metazoa; Chordata; Mammalia; Rodentia; Muridae. The record is from RNAcentral.
GCUUAAGCUGUGAUCUCUUUUUUUAGACAUAGUUUAAAUGUCAUUCACCUGGCUGGGAGAAUGAAUUCCAUGGCAACUAGAACCUCAGUAGCACCAUGAAAAAUCUGGCCUUCUUGAUGUGGAAAGGGCAGGUCCAAAAGUCCUUUCAAAUUACUACUCUAAUUUCAAGCUAGAGAGUUUUUAUUGUGUUGCUUUUUUUUCUCUACCUAUUGACAUAAUCUAUCAAAAAAAAAAAAAAAAAAACUCUCAGUGCUGUGCCUGAAAGCAAAGUUCAAACAUCACUGACAUGGUUGCCACUAUACAGACAGCAGUGUUCCUUAAAUAGAGACCGACAGAAGGAGCUGUCCCCAAAGUGGAAUUGCAACACUGAUUGGUGUCAGGCUCUGUCUAAGAUGAAGACAUCAUAGUAAUAUGCCCCGGCAUUCCUGGAACCCAGAAACAUAAGAACCAUAGAGCAGAGCAACUUACUCACAAUCACUACACAUAACUCCAUUAUAAAGUUUUAAGAAUAAAACUACAUUGAGUUUCACACAUUCUUGUAAGAAUUCAGAAUUACAACUUCAUUUGUUUUCCUUUUCCUUUUCCUUUUUCUUUUUCUUUUCCUUUUCCUUUUCCUUUUCCUUUUCCUUUUCCUUUUCCUUUUCCUUUCCUUUUCCUUUUUCGGUUUGGUUUGGUUUGGUUUUUUGAGACAGAGUUUCUCUGUAGCCCUAGCUGUCCUGGAACUCACUCUGUAGACCAGGUUGGCCUCAAACUUAGAAAUCUGCCUGCCUCUGCCUCCCAACUGCUGGGAUUAAAGGCAUGCACCAAACUACCUGGUCAUUUGUUUUUUUGUUUUGUUUUGUUUUGUUUUACAAGCUAUAUGUCGUAGUAAUUAACAGGGAGAGAAAAGAAAAUAGAACUUAUUUACUUUUAUAAUUGAAGUUUCAGUAUUCUGACUGUCUGUUUAUCUAUCUAUCUAUCUAUCUAUCUAUCUAUCUAUCUAUCUAUCUAUCAUCUAUCUAUCUUAUAACUGAAUGUUAUGUUUAAAAUAUUCUCUGUUUAAAGACAGACUGGAAGUAUUGAUCUUGAUUCCUCUUAAUUUCUUUGAUUAAAAAAAAAAGAAAAAAAAAGAAAAACUUUUCAAAAAAGGAGAAUAAGACCUUUAUACAGUUUUUUUUUCCUAGUGUGUGUACCCGGGUGUCUAAAUUCAUGAAAUCCUUUUGUUGAAUGUUUCUG